RNAcentral lists this long non-coding RNA (4204 nucleotides) under Capsicum annuum. RNAcentral describes it as "long non-coding RNA (CANN_LNC020922)". The record is from RNAcentral. Lineage: Eukaryota; Viridiplantae; Streptophyta; Magnoliopsida; Solanales; Solanaceae.
CUUGUUUUAGCUUAUUUUGGAGAUAAAUUUUAAGAUGAGAGAAGAUCUAAUGACUUACUGCAAUAUGCAUUGCUAAUGGAACAGUGUCCUGAAUUACACUGUAAUUGCACACACACCACCCUCCUUAGACUCCACUUGUGAAAUUACAUUGGGUUUGUUGUUGUAUUAUACAUAUCCUAGCUAUUUAUUUGGGCAGACGACUAUUUAUAUUAAUUUCUACCAAGAUGACGAGUAAGACAUCUAUAAUGACAACAAACUAAAACGUUUCCACAAACAAUUAAAGGGACAUUCAUUCUCAGACAAAUUACAUUAGCUUAACAAAAGCAAUAUGCAUUGCCAGUAGAUGAAGGAUAAUAAUAUACUGUACUAAUGAUUAUUGGACUUAAAGGAGAAAUGGCAUACAUCUUAUAGUGUAUUUUAAAGUUAUGAUAAUCUAAAGAAAGUAGUUUUAUCUUUGCAAUUACUGAAGAGGAUUUAGACUACUCUCAAAGUGCACAAUGGCUUUGAGUAUCAGUUCCAACAACAUAUCUGUUGAGUAUCACUUAAUAAUGCUACCAAUAGGCAUCUCUAAUACUUUAAAUUUAAUGCCAGAUGACUUAUGCUCGAACAUAACAAAUCAAUGAAGUAAAUUUUUCUAGUGUCACCCAAUAAAUCAUUAACGACUUAUCAGUAAUGCCCCACACUCUAUUCCAUUAUAGGCUUCUUAAUUUACCCAACUUUAUUGUUUUACCACAAUCAUUUCCCCAUGACAUUAAAUCACCCUUUUCAUUUGCUCAACCAAGUACCACCUAAACAUGCUACCUUGACCACUUUUUAUGCUUUAAAUACUUGCAGAUUUGGAGAAAUAACACUCAUACGUUCUGAUUAUGAAACUAUUACAAAAAAAUCUUUGGUAAUGGCAAUGUAGAAAGUAAAUCUAAUUUCAUAAAUCAAAUUGUUAAAUUUGCAGGAGAAGUGGAGGAGCAUGUACACAGUACACAUCUCUCAUUAAAGGAACUACAUUAAAGUCUUCAGUAAGGGUUGUGCUUUUAAAAAGAACUGGAUUUCAAUGUUGUUGCUUAAAAGGUACUUGAGCAGCUUUGAUAUACUUAGAACUUGUUCUGUAGUGUUUGAUGUACUGAUCCACAGAUCAACUUGUCUCCAUCACGGAAGUUUCUUAAUUUUUAAAAGUUAUGUAGUACCAAUAUUAAGUGUUUAAAUCCUGUUGAAUAACAAAUCAAGAGAUGAAUUGAUUUACAAGUAUAUUCCCGCUGUUAACAGAAUGAAUUGGCGUAUCAUUUGCUAUGCUAGAUAAUUUUGAUAUCGGAUACAUGAAAAGUAGUAUGUUAGUUUUCAUCACUCGUAUUAAAUAUGGUGAAAGCUUUUAAUACAGUGUUUAACAUUCCUAUUUCCUAAUAUAGCCUAUCUACUAAGUGUUAUCCAAUCUAUCUUCUUAAUUGCCUUGUCUGAUUGCAGACUAUGCAAAUCAUUUCCCUAGUGCCAAGAACACAUCUUAAGUUGAAACUGCAGCAUCAAGUUCUUCAAAUACCAAUUUUUCCAAGUUAGGUUGAUGCUAAAAGGUAAAAAUUGUCUAAUCAUCUUGGAGCAGAUAAAAAAUCUGAAGUGAAUUGUUGUAAAGAAUCAACUGAUUAAUCAAAAACUCAGAUACAUGUUCAGUGAAUUGUUCAAAUGGAAACAAUGUGGCAUUAUUGAGAGCUCACUAGAACAAAAUAGGUAAUUGUAUGAUCAACAAGGAAUUCCAAGCAUGUCUACACAUGGUACAGAAUCAAGUAUUCUGUUCCAAAAAGCACAACGCUAUUGACAUUUUCAAGUGGUGACAUCUACUCUGUAAAUGAGUUCAUCAUGGUCUCCUUCAGGGCAGAUAAAUCCUAUGAGAAGGGGUGUACGAGCACCUGUUAACUUCAGAAAAAACUAUAUAUAUAUAUAUGAGUAUAUACCUUGAAGAAUUAUCAUGUACUUUAAAAGGACCCUUCAAACAUAUCUAGCUCAUUGGGGCAUCUGGUCGCCAUGCCCCUAGGUUGUUUUUUCUUUGCUUAGGCUAUCAUAUAAUUUUGAUGUUAUUAUUGUCCUUUUUCUGAAUGUGAUGUAAUGAUUUCUUUAUUAUAUCAUAUUAUAUGCUAUAUCUGCUUUACUUCUAUAUUGCUUUGGUAUAUGUUACAUAUAUCCAAUGAUUGUGUUAUCUUGCACACAAUCACAUAACUCCAUACAAACUAACAUAAAUAUCAUAAGUGAUAAUGAACACCAAAUUCACACCAUCAAUGCUAUCUACACCAGACUAGUCCACUUUAUUGGAAUUGCCCAUAUCUUAUCAAGCCGAACACCAACCUUUUCUUACUCCAAAUACAUGAAUCAACCACAUGAUCCUCAUUUCUAUGUAUCCAGUCCAUGACAGCCAAGUGCAGUCAAUAACUAAUGAGUAGUUGUAAUGCUUCCACCCUUCACUAAUAGCCUCUCUAACACCACCACCACCCACCACCACCCCGCGCAACUACUGUAACGGGAAUAUGGCAACAUUAAUGAGGUGCAUAAGUUAUACCCAACAGAAAUAUUGUCACUCAAGUACACUUUCUACCAUUACCAUUAACCACCAUGAGUCUCACCAACUCAUAUCAUACCCUAUCAAGCCAGACCCUUCAACUUUCAUACAAGGCUGCUAAACUCACUUUCUUGAUAUUAAGCCAUACCUUCAUCAUCUAAUACUUCACAAUUGUUAAUAUUCAUUUACAAAUACAGCCAAACCAAAACAUACAACAACAACAACAACAACAAACCCAGUGUAUUCCCACCUAGUGGAGUCUGGGGGGUAAGAUGUACGCAGUCCAUACCUCUACCUCUGAUGAAGUAGAAAGGCUGUUUCCGAUAGACCCCCGGCUCAAGACACGAGAUACCAUACAAACACAUACUAAAGCACAGAAGCAGAUUACAUAACAUAAAUACGGCACCCAUAAGUAAUAUAAAACAGAGGAAUAACAUAUAGAAAAAUAGAAAAAAGUAGUAGAGUCAAAGGGAUUUAGCAAAGCAAUUCUACCUAAAUGCACCAACUAAAGCUAAAUGUCUCAAAUUUUCAGCUUAAUUCUAAUCAUAACCAACUCAAACAAGGACGGAGCAAGGUAGGGCCAAGGAGUUGACCCCCGUGUUCCAAAAAAUACACUAUUUUUACAUGGUUAAACUUAAAAUCUCCCUAGUAAAAAUCUUGACUACAUAAAAAAUGAGGAAGGGAGAUAACAAGCCAAUACAAAAUGAACAAAAAAGUAAAAGCAUGACGACAGUAUCAAAUUAUUAGUAGAAGAAGACGACAAAUAGUUCGAGGAAUAUGAAACUUACGUUGUUUUUUUCAGUCAAUUUCAACUUAAACCAGACCAAUUUUCAAGUUUGCAUGUGGCUGAUGCUUUGGGUACUGUGGCGAAGGAAGAAAAAACUAUCCAAGAAAGGGAAUCCGUGUGUGAUUUUACAGCGAGAGAAAGGGAAAAUAAGAAUUAUCCCUUCUUUAACUCGUCAAUUUCCAAUCUUGAAACUCAAAAUCAAGAAUCUAGUUUCUGAAAAAAGGAUAUAAAGUUUUGAACUUUUGGGCAAUAAUUGAGAAGCAAAAAGAUCCAAUUUUUAGCAGAAGACAAAGAAAGCAACAAAAAUGGAUCAUAUGAAAGCAUCUAAAAACUGGUAAAACGGAUGAUAAAGAAAGCAACAAAAAUUUCAAGAAUUAAAAUAAAAUCUUACCAUAUGAAUCAAAGGGAUUAUUGAUCAUGACCCACACCAAGAAAUCAACUGAUCAAAUCAAGAAAAACACACAGAGUGAAUAGAUCGGAGGAAUCUAAUUCCAUUUUCUGUGAUGAUUUCGGGGGGUGGUUUUGAGGUCAAGCCAGCAAGUAAAAUCUGCAAUUUUACACCUAUCCCAGUAAUAAAUUGCCUCUAGUUGUUCUAAGAAUUGAUAAACAAAACCCUAGCUGUGCGAUUUCAAUUCCACACUAAAAUAUCACGGAUGAGAAUAAACCCUAUACAACAUUUCAGAUGAAUGAUAUUAUGUUUUACGACUUUUUUUUAAUUAGAAAUUAGAGGGAACAGAAUAUAUUGGAGGUAACAUAAUAUUUUUAUAUUAAAAUUAUUGGAGGGAAUACCAUAUUUUUAUGUAAAUUUUUUAAAAUUUAUAAGAACACUUAUAAAUUAUUGUUUUAAAAUAAUAAAAAUAGACACAUUCUAAAAUUGUAAC